UUCACAAAGUGAGUCUUCGUAACUUUAUUUACAAAAAGAGACUUGGAUACUAUCCCUAGUUUCAUUAAGAUUCCCCUUUUAAAAACCGCCAUAAUAUCUCGGCCACGAUUAAAAUUUCUCACGCGUCAGACGCGUCUCCUCUCGCCUUUCUUUCGGGCGGAGGUGGCGCCAUCUCGGCUCGUUAGGCGGGGAGGAGGACCCGCGUUUCAACGACGAUGACAACGCCACGGGUGGGGCCCCGGUGGCCGAGGAGCCAAGCCCUCGAAAUUAGGCGCCAACGUCGGACGCACGCCUUCUUCGUGUCGCGGAAACACAGUGUAUGUACGCAAUGAACGGGGCGAGCUAUUUUCGAAAGGAAAUGUUUGUAUAAUUCGGUGACGCAUCGUUGAAAUAGCUUGAGAGCUGUAACUCGAUGAUUCGACUUCAACGUUUAUGAACCUCCUCAUGAAUAUAAAGUCGUUGGACACGGGUGAAUAGAUGAAGGCAAAAAUGAAUACUGGAGAGAAUAAAUGAUGGUUAAGGGUGAUAAUUAGAAUGCGGAUUUUUACACGCGGAGAAGAAGCUCGAAAAGAGGAUAGAAAAAUGAAGCUGUGCAAUAAUUUAACUUUUACUUCGAGUUACGUUAUAAAUUACUUUAACGCGUUAAUUGUAACUUAUAAAACGGGAGAAUGUAAAAAUUAUAAAAGGGGAAGAAUUAUUCUCUUCUUGAUUAUCAACUUAGAAAUAUGAAUUUGUCGAGAAUAAUUAAAUAUUUAUUUAAAACGAUGUACAAUGUGGUUUUCUUUCAUUAAAACAUUUAUUUCAUUUGAGAA
Molecule: long non-coding RNA, 812 nt
Organism: Apis cerana (Asiatic honeybee)
Lineage: Eukaryota; Metazoa; Arthropoda; Insecta; Hymenoptera; Apidae
Source: RefSeq, a predicted model, not a curated record